UGGUGCCAGCAGCCGCGGUAAUUCCAGCUCCAAUAGCGUAUAUUAAAGUUGUUGCAGUUAAAAAGCUCGUAGUUGAAUUUCGGGAUCAAUAUUUCGGUCAUGCCGUUGGUAUGCACUGUUAUCAUUGAUUUCUCACCUUCUAAAGAACCGUAAUGCCAUUAAUUUGGUGUUACGGGGAAUUAGGACUGUUACCUUGAAAAAAUUAGAGUGUUUAAAGCAGGCUCACGCUUGAAUACAUUAGCAUGGAAUAAUGAAAUAGGACAUCCGAUUCUAUUUUGUUGGUUUCUAGGAUCGAUGUAAUGAUUAAUAGGGAUAGUUGGGGGCAUUAGUAUUCAAUUGUCAGAGGUGAAAUUCUUGGAUUUAUUGAAGACUAACUACUGCGAAAGCAUUUGCCAAGGAUGUUUUCAUUAAUCAAGAACGAAAGUUAGGGGAUCGAAGACGAUCAGAUACCGUCGUAGUCUUAACCAUAAACUAUGCCGACUAGGGAUCGGAUGAUGUUAAUUUUUUAAUGACUCA
This 516-nucleotide ribosomal RNA is filed under the name uncultured fungus. Its description in RNAcentral is "SSU rRNA". It matches the Rfam family "Eukaryotic small subunit ribosomal RNA", at positions 562 to 1078 of the family's 1831-position model. Lineage: Eukaryota; Fungi. The record is from RNAcentral.